Molecule: ribosomal RNA, 482 nt
Filed under: uncultured bacterium
Lineage: Bacteria
Description: partial 16S ribosomal RNA
Rfam family: Bacterial small subunit ribosomal RNA
Source: RNAcentral
AUUGAACGCUGGCGGCAUGCUUUACACAUGCAAGUCGAACGGUAACAGGCCGCAAGGUUCUGACGAGUGGCGAACGGUUGAGUAAUUCAUCGGAACGUGCCCAGUCGUGGUGGAUAACUACUCGUAAGAGUAGCUAAUACCGCAUACGAUCUAUGGAUUAAAUCGGUGUACCGUAUUUCCUCGCGCGAUUUUUUCUUCCGAUGUCAGAUUAGUUAGUUGGUUUGGUAAAGGCUCACCAAGCCAACGAUCUGUAGCUGGUCUUUGAGGACGACCAGACACACGGGGACGGAGAAAAGGAAAAGAGAACUAAGGGAGGCAGCAGAGGGGAAGAGUGGACAAGGGGGGAAAGCAUGAUAAAGCAAGGCCGAGGGCAGGAAGAAGGACUUCGGGUUGUAAACUGCUUUUGUAAGGAACGAAACGGAUCUGGAUAAAACACGGGGAUAAUGACGGUAACGUAAGAAUAAGCACCGGCUAACUACGUG